This 1375-nucleotide long non-coding RNA is filed under the name Danio rerio (zebrafish). RNAcentral's name for it is "lncRNA (ENSDARG00000117777.1)". Lineage: Eukaryota; Metazoa; Chordata; Actinopteri; Cypriniformes; Danionidae. The record is from RNAcentral.
CAAACAAGCAAUCAAACAAACCCCCUCAGCAUCUGCAGACACUCCUCCAGCCGCUCCACCUGCACGAACACACACAUAUGCGGCCCGGCGUUCGCUCUCCGCACGGGUUUGAUGGCAUCGCACACUGUGAUUGAUUCUUGAUGGGCGGUACGGCGCGGCUGCUGUUUUUAAAUCCCGAUCAGAUUUGCUUACACUGCCAUUUUUAUAGCCCACAGCCAACAGCUGACACCGCAGGUACACUCUGACUGCGUGUGUGUGAGUGAGUGUGUGCGCGCGAUACGCCGCCACAAACGCUCUAAGUGCUCCCGUUUAAUAACAGACGGUGAUAAUUUAAGAUGCAUCGGUGGAGAACAGAGCACAAAUCACGGCGGUGACGGCUCCGCGGAGACAAAAUGGAAGGAAGGGCAGUAGAGAGAUAAAUCACACCGGGAGGGAGAAAGAAAGAAAAAAUCACGGGAGAAGCGGAUGGGGAUAAAAACAAGGCCUCCCUGCCGCGGUGUGUUUGUGUGUGUGUGCUUUUAUAUGAUCACUGAUGAACAGACUGUGAUGUCUCUAGUGAACGCCAGGCUCGGCACGCGCUCCCUCCUGUACAGUGUUUACAAUGAUCAUUACUGCUUCACUGCUAUUAUAAUGAUGACCACAGAGACCAGGCUGCUUUCCCCAUUGAGACUUCUCUCUCUGUCUGUCAAUGACCCACUCAUACAGAACCGAGCGCAGGGCCUGCUGGUGCUUUGGACCGAGGAGGUCUGUAAUACCUGGAGAAAGCUGUUUGUCAGCAUGCAUGGCUGGAGAAUGCUCGAGUAUGCGCUGUGUGGAAAUCCAAUCCAAGCUAAAGCUACUUUGGGCCUCUCCCUCGCCGUGUGCCCUUUGUAAAGCAGGAUUUGGUGUAAAUGCUCCUCUCCUGAUCUGUUUCGUACUCAACGUCAACCCGUAACGGGGCAGCCACCGACAACUGCCUGGAGAUUAGCUGGCACACCAGCUUAAACCCACAGACUUGCUCAAAUGAAGCUCAUUUUAAAACAGUCCUAUGGAUUUUCCUGAAGACUGGCAGAUUAUUUGGAAGAAUCCCGUUAAAAGGAUCUGUGUUUGAAUGUUCCAUGUCAUACCUCUGUCAAUCACCCUGGGCAUUUGCAAAUCCUGUCAUGUCUGCAAAGGAUGUGGUAUUGCCGGUCACACUAAAUGCAAUGUAGGAAGGAAGUGUCUGAAAUGUAAAACAUUAAAUGUAAAACCAUAUACAUAAUUAUAGAGUGGUAAAAGUAGCUCUGAAAUACAUUUGGCUUCCUGCAAUGGAUGAAUGUAUUAUUUUACAUUUAUUUAAGUGGGUGAUUUGUAUGAAUAGAUGUUUAAACUUAAUGGUAUUUUUAAUAAAACUAAU